UACGUAGGGGGCAAGCGUUGUUCGGAUUUACUGGGCGUAAAGGGCGCGUAGGCGGUCAGCACAAGUCAAUUGUGAAAUCUCCGAGCUUAACUCGGAAAGGUCAACUGAAACUGUGCGACUAGAGUGCGGAAGGGGCAACUGGAAUUCUUGGUGUAGCGGUGAAAUGCGUAGAUAUCAAGAGGAACACCUGCGGCGAAGGCGGGUUGCUGGGCCGACACUGACGCUGAAGCGCGAAAGCCAGGGGAGCGAACGGG
RNAcentral lists this ribosomal RNA (254 nucleotides) under uncultured bacterium. Its description in RNAcentral is "partial 16S ribosomal RNA". It matches the Rfam family "Bacterial small subunit ribosomal RNA", at positions 524 to 776 of the family's 1533-position model. The record is from RNAcentral.